UCGUAAACAUCCCGGAAGUGUCCUCGUCCAGCAUGGCAGUAAACAGGUGUGGGAUAACUUGUUGACAUGUUCACUUCACCGUCACCAGCCUCGCUAACAGCCCGCACGUGCUCCUACCUCGUCACCAUUUAAUGAGUGCAGAGUUUCCAGAUCACAACUGAGGACGAUUGAGUUUCUUCCUGUACAGUAUAGUAUGCCAUUUGAUCAUUUCAUAAUAUAGUGUCAUGGAAAAAGGUCAUAGUAUGUUUUAAAAUAUGAAAAAAGUAAGCAGGAGAGACUCGUGUCGGACUACGACAAAGUGAAGGCCGAAGAGCAGGAGAAGGAUGCGAAGCUGCAGAAACUCAUACUGCUGAAUGAAGAGAGGGAGCAGGCCAGAGAGGACUUGAAGGGCCUGCAGGAGACUGUGGCGAGUGUGUGAAGUUACAAUGUUGUAGUUGUUGUACAACUAAAAAUAACAUCAAUAAUAAGGAAUAAAUAAAUAAUGAUGUUAGUUAAAACCUUACAAAAUGAAUAUAGGAAUAAAGACAAAAGGGUAAAUACAGAAACCAAUGAUCUGAGUGACCUGCAGUCUUCCAACCGUCCUGCCGUCACCCUGAACUGUCUGAUCAGGCGACUCGUGUAUAUUACUUACUUUAUUUUUGUCUUUAUUCUUUUAAUUUGUGUCACCAUAUUCCUGUUUGUAAUCCAUAUCGAUCAAAUGCAAAAGGAAGUGCAAACAUCAGUAAACAGAACAUUAAGAUAUCAA
This is a long non-coding RNA of Cottoperca gobio, 745 nucleotides long. RefSeq lists it as uncharacterized. Lineage: Eukaryota; Metazoa; Chordata; Actinopteri; Perciformes; Bovichtidae. The record is from RefSeq and is a predicted model, not a curated record. The transcript has 3 exons.